Non-coding RNA from Plectropomus leopardus (leopard coralgrouper), 174 nucleotides. NCBI's taxonomy places the organism in Eukaryota, Metazoa, Chordata, Actinopteri, Perciformes, Serranidae. The record is from RefSeq and is a predicted model, not a curated record.
GACAGAUCCUUCGUCCUGGCACAUCUUUACCUUUUGCAGGGAGGAAAAGACCUCGACAGAUAAUUCAGCUCCUGGUAAAAACCUCCUGAACGUUUGGAUAUUAAGUUAUCUGAGAAAAAAGGGACAGGAGCUGUGCUGUAUGUUUCACCUUCACUACUAGCCACAUUCAUGCGC